CAGCCGCCACGGUAAUACAGAGGGUGCGAGCGUUAAUCGGAUUUACUGGGCGUAAAGCGUGCGUAGGCGGCUUCUUAAGUCGGAUGUGAAAUCCCUGAGCUUAACUUAGGAAUUGCAUUCGAUACUGGGAAGCUAGAGUAUGGGAGAGGAUGGUAGAAUUCCAGGUGUAGCGGUGAAAUGCGUAGAGAUCUGGAGGAAUACCGAUGGCGAAGGCAGCCAUCUGGCCUAAUACUGACGCUGAGGUACGAAAGCAUGGGGAGCAAACAGGAUUAGAGACCCCUGUAGUCCCUGUCUCUUAUAC
This 301-nucleotide ribosomal RNA is filed under the name uncultured bacterium. RNAcentral's name for it is "partial 16S ribosomal RNA". It matches the Rfam family "Bacterial small subunit ribosomal RNA", at positions 509 to 807 of the family's 1533-position model. The record is from RNAcentral.